AACUGUUAAUGAUGAAUUGUUUACAAACAUUGGGAAUCUCUCUGAAUAAGAGUGAAAGACAACUUGUUACUGAUACAGUG
Sebastes umbrosus (honeycomb rockfish) is the source of this 80-nucleotide small nucleolar RNA. RefSeq annotates it as small nucleolar RNA SNORD79. The transcript has a single exon. The record is from RefSeq and is a predicted model, not a curated record. Lineage: Eukaryota; Metazoa; Chordata; Actinopteri; Perciformes; Sebastidae.